AUGCGCGUUUUUGCCAUUUGGAUUGUGUGGGGAGCAUGUCUGAUAGAUCCCAAUCAUGGAGAUACCGUCACACAAUCGCUGCCGUCAUUACAGAAAGUGGAAGGAGAGUCGGUGACUUUCAGCUGCACCUAUGAUACCGCAGCAACGAACUACCUCUUAUUUUGGUACCGGCAUCAUCAGGACUCAAGGCCCGAGUUCAUACUGUGGAAACAUUCAGGAGGAACCGAGAAGAAAGCCGAUUUUGCAGGCGAUCGCUUCUCUGCCCAGCUCCAGAUCGAUAGAAAAUUAGUCAGUUUAACCCUAUCGGGGCUGCAGCUGAGCGACUCUGCAGUUUAUUACUGCGCCUUUAGCCUCACAGUGAUGGAAACCAGUGAAACCUUCAUACAAAAACAUCAGCUUCUGCUUUGCCUGCUGCAGUGAGAUACGUCUGCACCGCGCUUGCUGGUUGUGGUUUCCCGCGGUCUGAGAAUUCUUCCCAACUCACUCAGUUUCUCUCGAGGGCGGCUUGCGGUGUCAUCGGCGCAGCUGAAACCCACCGACUCCCUUUCUGUCAUCCGUGCUAAGCGCGGCAUCUGUGUGAACAGAAUCGCCUUGUCUGUAGUCUGGAAAACACAAGGAUUGUGUUUAGAUUUAUAAUGGUCAGAGAUACAGUGAUUAACUAUGCUUUACAUACUAACUGGCAGAUCAGAUAACGAUCCAUAAAUACAACCCAUUCAAACCGAAGUGCUAUAGAUAGAGCAAAGGGAAAGAUAGAGAGUGCAGAAUAAAGUUCUCCACAUUGUAGCGCAUCAAUUCCAGAAUCAAAUCCCAAUGUCCACAAUGGGGUCGAUGUGCACCGGCCUGUACUCUACUUUACGGAGUUAAAUCCUGUAGUCCCCUGCCGAAGAUAGACACAAAAUGCAGGUGGGACAUAAGGCAUAUCCGGGGAGAAGAUGGGUGACGUUUCGGGUCAAGAUCGAGAUUCAGGAGAGAGGGAGACUAGAGAUAUGGAACUGUAAGGUGUGAUAACGAGAGAUUAAAACGGACGCAAGUCCAGGAAAUGUCUAAUAUCAUUGUUAGCUGUGGUAGAAGGCAACAACUUGGCAUUCAAACAGAAACAUUAAUGAGAUUAUGAAUGAUAACGAAAUUGGAAAUGUAUCGCUUAUUGGCGACGCCGAGCAACAUCAUCUUCUUCAUCUGCGUGUUCCCUACAUUGGCGAUUAUUGGCUCGAUUGGGGAACGCAAUGUAGCUCAUUGCAGCUGAGAGCAGUACAUCGAGUCAGCAGCAUCUCGAAGAAGACCCACGAGGUCACGGCGAGAACCUACAGACUCCGUACAGACAGCACCCGUAGACGGGAUCGAUCCCGUAUCUCCGGCGCUGCAAGUGCUGUAAGGCAGCAACUCUACUGCUGCGCCACCGUGGCCGUUCGGAAUUUAAUUUGGUUGGGUUGGAUUGGAAUGGUGGGCAGGGUAAAUAAUUCACGCGAAUGCUUUGCGGUUUGGGAGAGCACCGUGAAUGUUGGUAAAUGAACACAACGCAUUUUCGCGGAGAAUAAUAAAGAUAGGCACCAAGUCAAGAAAGAUUUCCACACGCUAAAAAAACCGUUCAAAAUAACAAAAUGGCCUUCUCCUCCUUGAAUAAACUGUGAGCUGGUAAAUGUUUGAUGAAGCGAGGGGUGGAUCUCAUCAUUGAAACUGGAGAUGAACAACCAACAGAAUAACUUGCAGCAAUUUGAAAUGUGACAUAUGGUUGUUAAAGUAGAGGAGCGUCUUGGCGUUCAAACCUUCAUCUCAAUCUCGGAUUCAGUGCCUUUCUCUUAACAUCUCCUCUGUGCCAUUUUACAAAGCACUUGCCCACAUAUCGCCCCUACUCGUGCCU
Non-coding RNA from Leucoraja erinaceus (little skate), 1858 nucleotides. The record is from the annotation of a RefSeq genome assembly. Lineage: Eukaryota; Metazoa; Chordata; Chondrichthyes; Rajiformes; Rajidae.